AUCAUGGCUCAGGAUGAACGCUAGCGGCAGGCUUAAUACAUGCAAGUCGUGGGGCAGCAGGUUUGUAGCAAUACAGAUGCUGGCGACCGGCAAACGGGUGCGGAACACGUACAGAACCUUCCUUUGAGCGGGGAAUAGCCCAGAGAAAUUUGGAUUAAUACCCCAUAGUAUAAUGAAGUGGCAUCACUUUAUUAUUAAAGAUUUAUCACUCGAAGAUGGCUGUGCGGCUGAUUAGGUAGUUGGCGGGGUAAAGGCCCACCAAGCCUGCGAUCAGUAACUGGUGUGAGAGCACGACCAGUCACACGGGCACUGCGACACGGGCCCGACUCCUACGGGAGGCAGCAGUAAGGAAUAUUGGUCAAUGGGGGCAACUCUGAACCAGCCAUGCCGCGUGGAGGAUGAAGGUCCUCUGGAUUGUAAACUUCUUUUAUAUGGGACGAAAAAGGCUUUUCUAAGUCGUCUGACGGUACCAUAUGAAUAAGCACCGGCUAACUCCGUG
Molecule: ribosomal RNA, 499 nt
Filed under: uncultured bacterium
Lineage: Bacteria
Description: bacterial SSU rRNA
Rfam family: Bacterial small subunit ribosomal RNA
Source: RNAcentral